CGGCAACAGCUCAAAUUUGAAAUCUGGCUUCGGCCCGAGUUGUAAUUUGCAGAGGAAGCUUUGUGCGCGGCACCAACUGAGUCCCCUGGAACGGGGCGCCACAGAGGGUGAGAGCCC
This 117-nucleotide ribosomal RNA is filed under the name Humicola udagawae. Its description in RNAcentral is "Chaetomium udagawae partial large subunit ribosomal RNA". Lineage: Eukaryota; Fungi; Ascomycota; Sordariomycetes; Sordariales; Chaetomiaceae. The record is from RNAcentral.